Molecule: ribosomal RNA, 542 nt
Filed under: uncultured bacterium
Lineage: Bacteria
Description: bacterial SSU rRNA
Rfam family: Bacterial small subunit ribosomal RNA
Source: RNAcentral
UAACGCAUUAAGCACUCCGCCUGGGGAGUACGGCCGCAAGGCUGAAACUCAAAGGAAUUGAUCGGGGGCCCGCACAAGCGGUGGAGCAUGUGGUUUAAUUUCGAAGCAACGCGAAGAACCUUACCCAGGUCUUGACAUCCUCUGACACUCCUAGAGAUAGGACUUUCCCCUUCGGGGGACAGAGUGACAGGUGGUGCAUGGUUGUCGUCAGCUCGUGUCGUGAGAUGUUGGGUUAAGUCCCGCAACGAGCGCAACCCUUGAUCUUAGUUGCCAGCAUUCAGUUGGGCACUCUAAGGUGACUGCCGGUGACAAACCGGAGGAAGGUGGGGAUGACGUCAAAUCAUCAUGCCCCUUAUGACCUGGGCUACACACGUGCUACAAUGGAUGGUACAAAGGGCAGCGAAGCCGCGAGGUGGAGCCAAUCCCAUAAAACCAUUCUCAGUUCGGAUUGCAGGCUGCAACUCGCCUGCAUGAAGCAGGAAUCGCUAGUAAUCGCGGAUCAGCAUGCCGCGGUGAAUACGUUCCCGGGCCUUGUACACACC